GCCCGGUCCCAUUCCGAACCCGGAAGCUAAGUCCACCAGCGCCGAUGGUACUGCACUCGGGAGGGUGUGGGAGAGUAGGUCGCCGCCGGCA
RNAcentral lists this ribosomal RNA (91 nucleotides) under Corynebacterium amycolatum. The record is from RNAcentral. Lineage: Bacteria; Bacillati; Actinomycetota; Actinomycetes; Mycobacteriales; Corynebacteriaceae.